UACGGAGGAUGCAAGCGUUAUCCGGAUUUAUUGGGUUUAAAGGGUGCGUAGGCGGAUUAGUAAGUCAGUGGUGAAAUCCUGCAGCUUAACUGUAGAAUUGCCAUUGAUACUGUUAAUCUUGAGUGCGAUUGAAGUAGGCGGAAUGUGUAAUGUAGCGGUGAAAUGCUUAGAUAUUACACAGAACACCGAUUGCGUAGGCAGCUUACUAAGUCGUAACUGACGCUGAGGCACGAAAGCGUGGGGAUCGAACAGG
Molecule: ribosomal RNA, 253 nt
Filed under: uncultured bacterium
Lineage: Bacteria
Description: partial 16S ribosomal RNA
Rfam family: Bacterial small subunit ribosomal RNA
Source: RNAcentral